AGUCAACCUAACCUAUGGACGGGGAUAACCUCGGGAAACUGAGAAUAAUACCCGAUAGAUCAUAAUGCCUGGAAGGGUUUAUGAUCCAAAUGAUUUAUCGCCAUAGGAUGGGACUGCGGUCUAUCAGCUUGUUGGUGAGGUAAUGGCCCACCAAGGCUAUAACAGAUACGGGCUCUGAGAGGAGGGGCCCGGAGAUGGGUACUGAGACACGGACCCAGGUCCUAUGGGGCGCAGCAGGCGAGAAACCUUUGCAAUAGGCGAAAGCCUGACGAGGUUAAUCCGAGUGUUUUCUGCUAAAGGAACCUUUUGUCAGCUCUAAAUAGGCUGAUGAAUAAGUGGUGGGUAAGACUGGUGCCAGCCGCCGCAGUAACACCUGCGCCACAAGUGGCAAUCACAAUUAUUGGGUCUAAAGCGUUCGUAGCCGGUUUGAUAACUCUUUUGUGAAAUUGUUGGGCUCAACCUAACAACGUGCAAGAGAAACUAUUGAACUUGGGACCGGGAGGAGUUAGAAGUAUUCUAGGGGGAGCGGUAAAAUGUUAUAAUCCCUGGAGGACUACCAGUGGCGAAGGCGUCUAACUAGAACGGGUCUGACGGUGAGGAACUAAGGCCAGGGGAGCAAAACGGAUUAGAUACCCGAGUAGUCCUGGCAGUAAACGCUGUGAGCUAUGUGUUGCAUGAUCUUUGUGGUUGUGCAGUGCCUAAGCGAAGGUGUUAAGCUCACCACCUGGGAAGUACAGUCGCAAGACCGAAACUUAAAGGAAUUGGCGGGAGCUCACUACAAGGGGUGAAGCCUGCGGUUC
This 800-nucleotide ribosomal RNA is filed under the name uncultured archaeon. Its description in RNAcentral is "bacterial SSU rRNA". It matches the Rfam family "Archaeal small subunit ribosomal RNA", at positions 102 to 903 of the family's 1478-position model. The record is from RNAcentral.